Molecule: small nuclear RNA, 150 nt
Filed under: Myotis davidii
Lineage: Eukaryota; Metazoa; Chordata; Mammalia; Chiroptera; Vespertilionidae
Description: U2 spliceosomal RNA
Rfam family: U2 spliceosomal RNA
About the family: U2 is a small nuclear RNA (snRNA) component of the spliceosome (involved in pre-mRNA splicing). Complementary binding between U2 snRNA (in an area lying towards the 5' end but 3' to hairpin I) and the branchpoint sequence (BPS) of the intron results the bulging out of an unpaired adenosine, on the BPS, which initiates a nucleophilic attack at the intronic 5' splice site, thus starting the first of two transesterification reactions that mediate splicing.
Source: Rfam by way of RNAcentral
AUCGCUUCUCGGCCUUUUGGCUAAGAUCAAGUGUAGUAUCUGUUCUUAUCAGAAAAAGGGGGCCUAAAAGAAGCAGCAUGUGUAGAUUCAUGGAGUUUGGAAACAAUAUUAUGUUUUACAAAUUUAAGUAAUUCUGAAAGACUAAACCAU